GUGUCAGCCGCCGCGGUAAUACGUAGGUGGCAAGCGUUGUCCGGAUUUAUUGGGCGUAAAGCGAGCGCAGGCGGUUUCUUAAGUCUGAUGUGAAAGCCCCCGGCUCAACCGGGGAUGGUCAUUGGAAACUGGGAGACUUGAGUGCAGAAGAGGAGAGUGGAAUUCCAUGUGUAGCGGUGAAAUGUGUAGAUAUAUGGAGGAACACCAGUGGCGAAGGCGGCUCUCUGGUCUGUAACUGACGCUGAGGCUCGAAAGCGUGGGGAGCAAACAGGAUUAGAAACCCCUGUAGUCC
This 292-nucleotide ribosomal RNA is filed under the name uncultured prokaryote. Its description in RNAcentral is "partial 16S ribosomal RNA". It matches the Rfam family "Bacterial small subunit ribosomal RNA", at positions 505 to 796 of the family's 1533-position model. The record is from RNAcentral.